AGCAUAUCAAUAAGCGGAGGAAAAGAAACCAACAGGGAUUGCCCUAGUAACGGCGAGUGAAGCGGCAACAGCUCAAAUUUGAAAUCUGGCCUUGUGUCCGAGUUGUAAUUUGCAGAGGAUGCUUCUGGUAACGUGCCUUCGGAGUCCCCUGGAACGGGGCGCCAGAGAGGGUGAGAGCCCCGUAUCGUUGUGCACUGCGCCUUUGUGUAGCACCUUCGACGAGUCGAGUAGUUUGGGAAUGCUGCUCAAAAUGGGAGGUAAACUUCUUCUAAAGCUAAAUACCGGCCAGAGACCGAUAGCGCACAAGUAGAGUGAUCGAAAGAUGAAAAGCACUUUGAAAAGAGGGUUAAACAGUACGUGAAACAAUUGAAAAGGAAGCACUUGUGACCAGACUGGUGCCGUUCCAUUCCCUCUGCGUUCUCGUAGGGCUAUUUGGACGGCUUCGGCCAGCAUCGAUUUUCCCAAGGGGACAAAAGCUUGGGGAACGUAGCUCUCUUCGGGGAGUGUUAUAGCCCUUCGCACAAUACCUUUGGGGGGAUCGAGGUUCGCGCAUCUGCAAGGAUGCUGGCGUAAUGGUCAUCAGUGGCCCGUCU
This 593-nucleotide ribosomal RNA is filed under the name uncultured fungus. Its description in RNAcentral is "eukaryotic LSU rRNA". It matches the Rfam family "Eukaryotic large subunit ribosomal RNA", at positions 37 to 654 of the family's 3401-position model. Lineage: Eukaryota; Fungi. The record is from RNAcentral.